CGUACACUCCUGCGGGAGGCAGCAGUGGGGAAUAUUGGACAAUGGGCGCAAGCCUGAUCCAGCCAUGCCGCGUGAGUGAUGAAGGCCCUAGGGUUGUAAAGCUCUUUCACCGGUGAAGAUAAUGACGGUAACCGGAGAAGAAGCCCCGGCUAACUUCGUGCCAGCAGCCGCGGUAAUACGAAGGGGGCUAGCGUUGUUCGGAUUUACUGGGCGUAAAGCGCACGUAGGCGGACUAUUAAGUCAGGGGUGAAAUCCCGGGGCUCAACCCCGGAACUGCCUUUGAUACUGGUAGUCUUGAGUUCGAGAGAGGUGAGUGGAAUUCCGAGUGUAGAGGUGAAAUUCGUAGAUAUUCGGAGGAACACCAGUGGCGAAGGCGGCUCACUGGCUCGAUACUGACGCUGAGGUGCGAAAGCGUGGGGAGCAAACAGGAUUAGAAACCCGAGUAGUCCCAUG
Molecule: ribosomal RNA, 453 nt
Filed under: uncultured organism
Description: partial 16S ribosomal RNA
Rfam family: Bacterial small subunit ribosomal RNA
Source: RNAcentral